AUGUAUUUGAAGGGAAGCCUUGCCGCAGCCUGCUGGGGAGCUGGUCUCACAGCACUUCCCCAUCCCGCUCUAGCCUCCUUGCUGAGCAUCCCUGCUAUGACUCAGGCAGCCUGCAUGGGUCCUCAAAAAAAAAAAAAAAAAAGAUGGCCAUUCAGGGAGACCACUGGACUCACGUGGGAGGCAGACAGAUCCCAAAGAGAACAGACUGAGUCAUUAUCAAAGACUCCCAGGCCUGCACACCAAACGGGCAUCAGCCAGGGCACAUGGCCAGCCAGCCGGCCAGCAGCCUUUAACUUCUCCCCAAGCCAGGGCUCAGAGACCAAAAAUCCGACAGCUGUAAGCAAGCUGAGCCCUGGCGCUGAAGGACAAAGCCAUGGGAAGCCAGACACCUUUCCUGAGGCUUCCAAACAGUUACUCCGAACUGCUUCUUGGUCCUGGAAGCCCGGUCCUGAACUCUUCACUAUCCUGGCUUUUGUGGGAUUUCUGUUGCAUACGGGAGCGCUUAAGGAGAGAAGGUCAAAGGAGCCAAGAAGCCAAGUAAGCGGUGGUGCAAAAGUGGCUGGUGGAGAGAAGCUUGCAUAUUUUUUGCAUCCCUCUGGGGAUCACCAGGCCAACCGCUCCAAAACAUCAGGACAGCAGCAUCCACUCCACCGGGGACUAGAGCCAGGGCCGAGACGUCCUUGUCGCCAGCCGCCUGCACUCACCAUCGGCCAGAUUGAUUUCAGGUUGGCUCAGGCUCCUCAGGAUCUGCCUUGGGACUCUGGAGAGAACCGCUCAGUUCCUGACACUGUCAGCCGUUCGGAUGAGUCACAGCCAUCGCUUGACCAAGUUGCUUUCUGUGCAAGCUUGAGGGGCUUUCCUUCCUCUGGAGACUCUCCUAAGUCACACUGUAUAUUGUAGAUCACACUUUUUGUGGUCCCAUGAUCUCCUUGCCCAGAAGACCAGGGACUCACAGAGUUAUGGAAUGUCAGUGCAGAGGUUCUCUUAUAUCCUAGGUCCUCAUUAACCUCAUGGGGCGGGGACCAAAAUACUGGCCGUCCUCCUAGCCCUUCUAUCUUUCUAGUUUUUAGUCUCCGAACCUCAGUUGUUGAACAUCCUGGAGAAAAGAUUGAUGAUGUCACAGUGUAACAAGGCAGUAAGCUUAACAUUACUACAUUAUCUGAAUGUCAGGCACCUUACAACAUAAAAGAGAACUGUUGUUUUUUAUCAACCAUCAAUGUGCUAGUAUUUAAAUCCUCCUAUGAUGUUAACAGUUUCAUGUUUAACAUGCCAAAGUAGAAUUCAAAGUCAUACCUAAUACUGUAGCAUGACAAUUACGAGAUUUUGUAACAACCUAAAUUUCCAUGUUGACCUACCCCUUUUAGUCAGCCAUCCCUAUACAUAAAAAGCUCUUCCUCAACUUGUUGACCUUUAGUGGGAUACACACCACAUAAGCUUUUGUUAAAGGCAGAGUUCUGAAUCUGAAAGGAAAGUCUUAUUAACAUAAACAAUCCCUGUUCUACAUAUUGGAAGACAGGUAAAUCUGGAGGUGUGAAUACAUUUAAUUUAACACAAGAACAACAAAACUUAAUUAUCAGAGCCAUAUGAAAACCUUGAUUUCUUAAUUUGGUUUCGUAUGAAAAUUGUAUUUUAUGAAGAUACUUUAUUAUCUUCUAGAAAAUGUAACCUUUGGAUGAUGAGCAAUGUAAACAUACCACUGUAACAUUUUACUUGUUUAUUUAUUUUUGUCUUUUAGAGACAGGAUCUCCCUGUGAAGUUCAGGCUGGCCUGGAGCUCACUUUAUGGCCCACGCUGAUCUUGAACUCAUGAUGAUGCUCCUGCCUCAGCCUCCUGAGUGCUGGGAUUACAGGUGUGUGCCACACACCCGACUGGUCACACCUUUUUAACAACAUUUAUUAGGAUGGCUCUCAUAAGGCUAUUGGGUACUCCCAUUAAUGAGCAAAGACUGGACAAUGAUUUGUUCCAGGCAGCUGCUUCUUUAUUCACCAAAAGGGCAUCCUGGCCAAUAGGCUAAAGGACUUUUGUUUAAUUAUCUUAAUAAAUUUUUUGAUGACUUAUGAAAACCCAGUCACAGCAUUUAACAUGGUAUUUUUGAACAAGAAGAGACUCUCAAAUCAUGAUACAGAAUCAUAGUAUAUGUUAAAUUAACACAACCAGUUAUAGCAUUGUCUUGACCAGCUGGCAACUCAGGUGGAAGCAUGCUUUUAGAUCUAUGACCCAUAUGAAAUUUUGAACAAAUGACCCAAAAAUACAAAAGAAGAAGAAGAAACUAUUGAUGAUCCAAGAAAUAUUCAUAAACGUUGUUAUCUCUGAGGCUUCCAGUCUCUGUGGAAGUGUGUGACUUCAGUCCCAGAUCAAGACUCUUCUCUGGUAUUGGUAUUUUCUGUAGUCAGGCCAGUCUGUUGGCCGUCAAUUCUGCUGAAAAUAGUUUAAUCCUUGUGAAAUAGUAUAGGGGAAACCGUGCUCUAUGAGUCACAUGAAUCUACCAAUGGGUUUAUGCUGUGUGUGGUAUUAUAGUUGGUACCACUGUGUCAGUGAGCUUUCAGUUGCUGUGAGAAAUACCCGAGGCAACCAAUUUAAUAAAAGGAAGUGAGCAUGGUAGCACGUGCCUGGAAUCCCAGCUCUCAGGAGGCUGCUGAAAAGGAUUGCUGUGUGUUCCAGGCGAGUCUGGACUAUAUAAUGACACCUUGUCUCAAAAAACAAAGUGAAACAAAACAAAACAAAACUUAAUAAGAGGAAAGGUUUAUUUUUGGUCACAGUUUCAGUGGUUUUAAUUUGUGAUCACAGUUCAUCAUGCUGGCAACCUGUGGAAGAGGAGGCUGCUCAGGUUAUAAUGGCCAGCAAGGCAAAAAGAGAGGCAGGACAGUCCUUGUGAGCUCCAGAAUAGCCUGGGUUAUAAAGUGAGCUCAAGGUCAGCCUGACCUGCAUAGUUGAGACUCUGUUUCAAAAAGACAAAAAAAUGCCAAACCUUUGAGGGGACGCCCCAGUGACCUCACUUCCUUUCAUGAGGCCUGCCCCUUAAAGGUUCCAUCACCUCCCAAUAGCACCCCAGGCUGGGAACCAAAUCUUCAACCCUUAGGCCUUUGGAGUUCAG
This is a long non-coding RNA of Cavia porcellus (domestic guinea pig), 3094 nucleotides long. The record is from Ensembl. Lineage: Eukaryota; Metazoa; Chordata; Mammalia; Rodentia; Caviidae.